CUCAGCGGUCCGGGGCCAAUGGUGUCUGAUGAGGUUUCAGAGUGGUGGUGGGGGUCCGGAGCCAACAGCCAACCAAGAACUCUUGAGACAUCUUGGAUGCAAAAAGCUUUAGAUGUUGAAGAUGACUUCCUACGCCAGCAGGGGGCGCUGGCCUCACACAAGCGGCUGGAGCCCUCUCCUGCUGGGGCUGACACCUGACCGCUCGCCCCAGUCUCCAAGACACCCUCCGGUCUCUUCAUUUCCACUCACAAAAAUACACGAUAAGACCCAGUUCCUGGAAGAAUGAUCUUUGCAAAUUAAGUUAUCGUGAGUUAUGUGAACCCCCAACCUGCAAGAGCCAAGGCUAGACUGGCUGUCUGCCUCCUGCCCUUUGCUUCCCACUUAAAAAUCCAAGUCACCAUGAA
Molecule: long non-coding RNA, 404 nt
Organism: Herpailurus yagouaroundi (jaguarundi)
Lineage: Eukaryota; Metazoa; Chordata; Mammalia; Carnivora; Felidae
Exons: 2
Source: RefSeq, a predicted model, not a curated record